RNAcentral lists this transfer RNA (86 nucleotides) under Nitrospirota bacterium. RNAcentral describes it as "Nitrospirae bacterium (groundwater metagenome) tRNA-Leu". It matches the Rfam family "tRNA". Rfam says of the family: Transfer RNA (tRNA) molecules are approximately 80 nucleotides in length. Their secondary structure includes four short double-helical elements and three loops (D, anti-codon, and T loops). Further hydrogen bonds mediate the characteristic L-shaped molecular structure. tRNAs have two regions of fundamental functional importance: the anti-codon, which is responsible for specific mRNA codon recognition, and the 3' end, to which the tRNAs corresponding amino acid is attached (by aminoacyl-tRNA synthetases). tRNAs cope with the degeneracy of the genetic code in two manners: having more than one tRNA (with a specific anti-codon) for a particular amino acid; and 'wobble' base-pairing, i.e. permitting non-standard base-pairing at the 3rd anti-codon position. The record is from RNAcentral. Lineage: Bacteria; Pseudomonadati; Nitrospirota. RNAcentral also lists the same sequence under 2 other names.
GCCGGAGUGGCGGAAUGGCAGACGCAGCGGACUCAAAAUCCGCCGAGGGCAACCUCAUGAGAGUUCAACCCUCUCCUCCGGCACCA